Molecule: long non-coding RNA, 271 nt
Organism: Homarus americanus (American lobster)
Lineage: Eukaryota; Metazoa; Arthropoda; Malacostraca; Decapoda; Nephropidae
Exons: 2
Source: RefSeq, a predicted model, not a curated record
CAUUUGUAAUUUUAAACCUGAACAGUAAAGGAGUCCCCUAAACAAUGUUAAACAAUAAACUCCAUUGAGGAUCUAUGUAUCUCCCUUACCCAGGUUUUUGGUCUUUUUGGUACUGUUAAUGUCUUCUAUACGUACACAGAGGCGGCUUCAACAACAAUAUCUUGCCAUCUUUAAAUCACUGAAAUGAUCCAUUAACAAUAUAAUUUUCCUUACUUACAUAUUCCAUCAUAGAGCAUACAAAAGAAAAAAUAGAUCAGUGAAUGUAGACAUC